This 3346-nucleotide ribosomal RNA is filed under the name Triticum aestivum (bread wheat). Its description in RNAcentral is "partial small subunit ribosomal RNA". Lineage: Eukaryota; Viridiplantae; Streptophyta; Magnoliopsida; Poales; Poaceae. The record is from RNAcentral.
GGAGCGCGGGCAGACGAGGAGGGCGGGGGAGAGGAGAAGGAGGGCGCAGGACGGAGUGGAGAGAGAGAGAGAGAGAGGGAGGUUUGGGAUUGGGCGGCGACAGGUCCAGGUCGGGGUGCGGCGGCAGCAGAAGAAACGGGUCGGCCGGCGACGGCGUGGCGUACGAGCACACGUCCCCGCUCUUCCCCUUGGUGGCGGGCGGAGGCCUCGCGCUCUCCACUCCGUCGCGGGCCUAGGUGCCGCCGUAGCUGCGCGGCAGCAGCUGGACUCGGCGGUACCAGAGUGGGACGACACGAGGAAGGGGAGGUGCCGAGGAUCGAGCCCGUUGUUGUUCGGUAGAGUUCUCUCACCUAAGAGUUCAGUGGGGUAGAGUUCCCCGUUCCACCGCAGCCAACUCCAGGGUAGUUUAAGCCAGUGAUGCGGCUUAGACGACGUCACCAGCAGCUAGACGACAAUACCAGCAACUAAAUGUCUAAGCAGGUCACAACAACCACGGAGGAAAUUAGACUGGGCCAACGCAGAAGUAAGUACCUAAACGUCUAAUUAGGGAGAAGAGGAGGAGGAAAAGCCAUGAGAAGACAAUCUCACGAUCCGUAUGUCGCCGUACCGGUUCCCGAGAAAAUCCGAACUGGUACACAAACCGGCCGUUCCCGGAAAACAACAAACAGAACGGAGACCAUUUCCGGUUUCCACGGUAACCAACAAAAACCACGCCAUAUCUAAAUACAGAAAAGAAGAAACAUACCAGGACCAUCCCGGACAUUAACGACGAGGAAACAACCACCUCACAACCACCAAAACGACGAAAGCCAGAUCGAUCCAAGGUUCCUUACCCUAUAAAUAUAAACAGAACAAGACAACUAACGAAUAAUACGCCGACGUGUAACCUAGAUCGACACAAGAAUUACUUUAUACCGAAACAACACAUCCUUUCUCAAUCCGGACGGUUCAAAGAACCCCAACACACUACUCAUGAUAAGGAUCUUUACGAAAUCACAAAAUCACACGGGAAAAACUAACUAUAAAAACUUCUUAUUUACCUUAACGACUGCCGGUCUCGGAUUUUGUCUCCUUACCUCAAGAACCUAGGUAUACCAAAACAUUUUAUCUCUUUAACUCAAGAACUCCAAUAUAUUAUUAAUCCGGACGGAUCCUCCACGAAAUGACAAAAAGGGGAGAAAACCAAUCAUGAAAACCUUAUUAUUUACCUAGAAGACUCUCUACUGUCGAUCUUAUUUAAGUCUACAGAACCUCAACAUCAUAUACCUAGACCACUCUCGACUCCCGAUUUUAUAUAAUACAACAGAACCUCAACAAAAACGGUAGACUAUUAAUCCUGGACAGGUCCUCCACACAACAACAAAGUUAACACAAGGAAAACUAACCACAAUAAACUGCUUAGUUACCUAGAACACUCCCUACUUACGAUUUUGCCUAAGUCAGCAGAACUCCAACAUUAUAUACCUAGACUACUCUCUACACCCAAUUUUAUCUAAAUCAAUAGAACCUCUCAAAAAAUAAAAAGACAACACCAUUUACUCUAUCGUGCAACGACGUACGAAAAUCCAAGAACUAUCAAUCACACCCAGUAACUUAAACACGAGACGGCACUUUUACGCGACCACACUGGGAUCGGUACCACCGCGGGGAGAAGGGUACAAAUCCACGAAGGAGAGAGGUACGGGAAGGUAGACAAGUAGAUUGAAGGAGGGGGAGGUGAGGACCAGCUCCGUGUGCAGCAACUACGAGACGAUAUAGUUCGUCGGGAGGUGAAGUCAAUAAAACGAACCACUAUCUAUAUCAAGUGAAACAGAUAUUAGAAGUAAAGAAAAAAAAACUCAAAAAAAGUUGAUGUAUCCAAUCACAAAUCAAAGGUUCCUUCCGUUCACAAAUAAAUAAGUUGUAAAUUAUUGUUGUACAUAAUGUACUACACUACGGACUCACACUAAAACAUCCGUUCUGUAGUUGCCUUUCCACAACCCUACAGUGGAAAUGACGGAUUUACGAAGAUUUCAAAGGUAGCCGCAAGUUGCCCCCAAACCUCUCUAGGACUGGUCGACUUGACUGUUGGGGCGAAUGAGGACGUUGGAUUCCUAAGGUCGACAAUAAAGUCAAUUACGAACCAACUCGGAUCUCUUAUUGUAUAAUUGUACCUCUUGAUAAGUACACCACUAGGGGUUUUGAAAGAUUAUCAAGACACCUCAUCCUUCCGACCGUACUCAAACAUCUUGUUAGAACUUGUGAAGAGUUUGAUCUGACUGGUAAUAUCAAACGUCUUGUUCCAUUACAGUGGAGACUUUCAAUCCACAGAGAAACACGAAGUAAAAGUCAAUAUAACCAUAACGCGUAUAGACCAGUUCCACUUUAACUAUGAUCGAGAAUCGAGACCAGUUCCUCAAUGAGUAGACAGCCUACUGAUUUAGAACAACAUGUAUUCCCAGUCAUUUUCUUGACAUAAGAAUGACACUACUACAGGUAUACCGUGUGAGUUACCUAUACAGGUAGUUGUCCAUAAAUGUUGCGUCUCAGUCCGCUGUUUCGUCAGUCUGGUUUGAUAGAGAUAGGUAUAUAUACAUCAGACUACAAUACAGUAUCGGCUUGGUAUAUUCAAAGAAUAUGACGAGACGAAAACUACAUAAUCUGAAGAUAGGUAACAUUACUUGAACAACAGCCCCCCUAGUGAUACCGAACUAAUAUACCAUACUUCAAACCCAAACCAAAACUCGAGUCGACAUAUUUUCAUGUACGAAUGUUGGUAUCUAUGUACACUAUUCAGUAACUCACUAAUUCGUAUCAAAACCUAAACCGCACGACCUGGUUAAUCUACCUGUCCCGUUGAAGUUAACUUAGUAGGUAACGUAUCGGCACGUUUGACACAACCACAUUCUAUAAAAGGAUAUAGCAAUUAGUACUAGAAUACUUGGUGAGCUUUGAAACAUAACAUAAAACCCAUGUAAACGAAGAAAACUCUUUCAAGAGAAUUCCUAUACAGUAUUAGUACAUAUCCCCCUACCUAUUCAAUCCCGGCCCCCCACGCCGUUCAGCGUGUAGGAUAGAUCAUAGUCGAUGGAGGACGUUGCCCUCGCUGAACAGGUCGUAGGUAGAGAGGUGUGGUAGCGGUCGCAGUCGAGAGGUAUAGGUUUAUUGCUCACGCCUGAGCCCGGAGUCACGAUGAAAUCCGCGCUUCUGGUGUGUCUCGGAAGGUAGGAACCAGAGCGGUCGGCAGUUACAAAGUAAUUGAGAGGUCGCGCCGCCGUAUAGGUAAGCUUUCUUAACGUAGCACCGCCACAAUUCGUGUGCCCGCAGACAGCCGCGAGGUUACCAGGUUAUCUACUUCGGUAAGUGG